This 321-nucleotide ribosomal RNA is filed under the name Encarsia sophia. RNAcentral's name for it is "eukaryotic LSU rRNA". Lineage: Eukaryota; Metazoa; Arthropoda; Insecta; Hymenoptera; Aphelinidae. The record is from RNAcentral.
AAAAGAACUUUGAAGAGAGAGUUCAAUAGUACGUGAAACCGUUCAGGGGUAAACCUGAGAAACCCAAAAGAUCGAAUGGGGAGAUUCAUCGUCAGCUGCUUUGGCUUACGUGCGGUGCGCGAUGAUCGGGGUUUUGGUUUUGUUUCACGCGUCCGCUGCGUUAUGUUCGAGGUGGUCGGCGUGCACUUCUCCCCUAGUAGGACGUCGCGACCCGUUGGGUGCUGGUCUACGGCCCGGUCGCAAGUCUGACGUGUCUCGUUUACGCGCGUUACGCGUCAGACGACUGGUUGCUCGGCCGGCUGCUCGGCGGUAUUGAACGAU